Molecule: long non-coding RNA, 249 nt
Filed under: Eutrema salsugineum
Lineage: Eukaryota; Viridiplantae; Streptophyta; Magnoliopsida; Brassicales; Brassicaceae
Description: long non-coding RNA (ESAL_LNC001325)
Source: RNAcentral
ACGAUAAAAAAACCUUACAAGGAGUCAAAAGAUCUUUCACCAAUGCUCACGCUCUUAUAUAAUGAACUUCGCAAACACUACUGUCACAUUCCUCUGUAAUUUCGUGGGGAUAGGGUUAUCAAUUUAAAAGUUGUUUGACGGAGGAAGUGAUUCAAAAGUCUACAGUCUGUUCUGACUGAAGAAGAGCAUAAGAAACGGGUCGGGUUUACGGUCUGAUUUUAGUUUAAUCGAGUUUUAAUUUGGUCUGGG